This 4938-nucleotide long non-coding RNA is filed under the name Sus scrofa (pig). RNAcentral describes it as "lncRNA (ENSSSCG00015033334.1)". The record is from RNAcentral. Lineage: Eukaryota; Metazoa; Chordata; Mammalia; Artiodactyla; Suidae.
UUUUUUUUUUUUUUUUUGUCUUUCUGCCUUUUUCUAGGGCCGCUCCCUCGGCAUAUGGAGAUUCCCAGGCUAGGGGUCUAAUUGGAGUUGUAGCCCCCGGCCUACACCAGGGCCACAGCAAUGCGGGAUCUAAGCUGCAUCUGCAACCUAUACCAUAGCUCACGGCAACGCCAGAUCAUUAACCCACUGAGCGAGGGCAGGGAUCGAACCCGAAACCUCAUAGUUUCUAGUCGGAUUCGUUAAACACUGCGCCACAAUGGGAACUCCCAGAAAAGCUUUUAAUUAAAAACCAAACUCCUCCCUUCACGGCUCAGUGGUGGAAAAAAUCCAACUAGGAUCCAUGUGGAUGCGCGUUCGAUCCCUGGCAUCACUCAGUGGGUUAAGGAUCCGGCGUUGCCCUGAGCUAUGGUUUAGGUCACAGACAUAGCUCAGAUCCUGCAUUGCUGUGGCUGUGGUGUAGGCUGGCGCCUGCAGCUCCAAUUUGACCCCUGGCCUGGGAACCUCUAUGUGCCACGAGUGUGGCCCUAAAAGGAAAAAGGAAAAGAAACAAAGCAAAACAAAACGAAACGAAACAAAAACAAACUCCUAUGGGCCUUAUAAAACAUCCCCAGGUCAAACAAAGAAUAAACUCCCAGGUCACCUGGCUUUACCUGUUCCCCUGAAGGGCCUCACUCUUUUAAGAUCUGUAGCAUUUGAGAAAGUGUGUUUCCUACACUCUUUUGCUCAGGGGAGGCUAUUGGGAUGUCUCUUUCAGUAGUUUCCUUUGGUUAAAACAUGGGUUUUGAAAACAAGUAGACAAGGAUUCAAAUUCCGGUGUGUCUUCUGCUGGCUGUCAGUUAUUUGAGCUCAUUAAAUUAGCCAUUGUGGCACAAAUGAACCUUUCCACAGAAAAGAAACACAUGGACUAGGAGAACAGAUGUGUGGUUGCCGAGGGGGAGGGGGAGGAGGAGGGAGUGGGAUGGACUGGGAAUUUGGGGUUAAUAGAUUCAAACUCUUGCCUUUGGGGUGGCUAAGCAAUGAGAUCCUGCUGUAUAGCACAGGGAACUCUAUCUAGUCACUUGUGAUGGAACAUGAGGGAAGAUAAUGUGAGAAAAAGAAUGUAUAUAUAUGUGUGUGUGUGUGUGUGUGUUUGUUGUGAGAGAGAGAGACUGGGUCACUUUGCUAUACAGUGGAAAAUGGACAGAACUCUUUAAAGCAAGUAUAAUGGAAAAAAUAAAAAUCAUUAAAAUAAAAAAAUGUUAAAAAUUAGAAAAAAAAAGUUAGCUAUCGUGCUUUAGUCUUAGUGUUGUUAUAAAGAUAAAUGAAUAUAUGACUGACUGCAUUUGAUAGGUAGCAGGUAUUCAGUAAACAGAGACUCUAUAUUUUAAUUUCUUAUACUUGCAUGUGUCUGUAGCAGCUACUUCUUUCUCCACCUUCCACUGCUCGUCCUUAAUGCUCACCAGGGUCCAUCUCCUCUCUGAGGACACUGGGCAUUGGGACAGAGGUUCUGAUUGGGACAAUGAGAAAUGGUUAACUGAAAAGAAUUCCCUUUGGACAUAGUUUAUCCAUAAACAUCUCCUUCCUCAUCCCAUAAUUAUCUCAUCAUCAUGGGAGUCUAGCCAUUGGAUUUAUUUCUUCAAAUUUAAACCGAGUGUUUCAGCAAAGGAGGGACUAAACCAUGAGAGGUGGCUUCCCUGUGGCCUCUUAGUUGCAGGUGGAGGAGAGAGAUGCCUAGCUGUGCCUGGCUUGGCCAUCAGAGUCUUGGCAGAAGUCACCUUGCUGCUAUGUGCUGUGGGAUGGGGUGCCCUGCGAGCUGAGACCCUUUCUGAGAUGGUUUCUGGAUGUGGUGCCAUCUUUGGGAACAGGGCAAGGGUCUUUGCUGAUUUGUAUGUGGGCAGCAUUUGGCCUCACUGGGCCCUCUGCCUAGAGGGUAUUUCAAAAAUAACACUUGGGAUGCAGCCCCCUGAAAACUGGGUCAUACCAUAACUGCCGCAAUAAAAUAGUGGACACGCAUUUAGCAAAUUGUGACCUCUGUCACACCACUCAUUUCCAUAGGCAGAGCACCUCUGGAAUUCUGCAUCUAGUAAUAUAUUCAGAGAGAGUGGUUACUGGGGGCCUUAUUUUCUCUUCCCGCUGAGAGGUAACUAGGUCACAGUGAAAACAGCACCAAAACUGUUGGAGGAUCCAGCUUGCCCUGUGGCUGGGUGGAAUUGGGCAGAGGAGAUCAAGAAAUGGGAAACUAAGGAAAAAAAGGUGUUACAUGAAUACCCACAGAAGAUGAGUCCCAUUAAUGGGAGUUGGAGAAAAGAAACACAAACCAGUACACUGUAGACUCAAUAGAGAUUCAAGCGCCUGCCCACACAGGAUGGAAAGAUGCUCAGAAGCAACCCAGAACCGAAUACAAGCUGUCAAGAGAAUUCUAGUGCCAGAGUUCCCAUCGUAGCACAGCAGAAAUGAAUCUGACUAGGAACCAUAAGGUUGCAGGUUCCAUCCCUGGCCUCAUCCAGUGGGUUAAGGAUCUGGCGUUGCUGUGAGCUAGGGUGUAGGUUGCAGACCAAGCUCAGAUCUGGUGUUGCUGUGGCUGUGGUGUAGGCCAGCAGCUAUUGCUCUGAUUUAACCCCUAGCUUGGGAACCUCCAUAUGCUGAGAGUGGGGCCGUAAAAAAAAAAAAAUAAAAGAAUUCUAGUGCCUAAAAAGUAAUUAUUAAAAUAAAGCCUAUAAUCCGGAGUAAAAAUAUAGACACAAUGGGAUAUUUUCUGGCCAUAACAGUUCUCUGGAACCUUUAUGAGAACCCUCAUCAAACUUUUAUGGCAUCUGCUAGUAUCCUGGAGAGCUCGAUGGAAAUGAUCAAAGGGUCAGAUCAUAGGGCCUACGAGGACUGUCACGAGGAAAUGGGAUUGUGUAGCAGGAGAACGAAAUUUAAGGGAUGACUUAAUACAAGCACACAAUGAAAGGCUACUCCGUGUGGAUGACAAACAGCUGCUCUUCAUUAGGCUUUGGGGACCAAAGAAAGUGACACCUGAUUUACCUGCAGCAGGAAAAGCUUAGACCGUAUGGGAAGAAAGGCCAGCCAACCCAUUUACACUUCUCCCAAAUUCGGAGAACGUUGGGCCUCCCGGGCUGUGUUCCUUCUCCAAGAAGAGACACAGUUUGCUUCUCUCCCAUCAGAGAGACUCACUCCUUCUUUUCAGAGGUUGCCCCUGUCUCUGCUGAGUGAAAUGAUGAGACCCUCCAUUGCUCAUCAGAGGUUACCCCCUUGUCUCAAAGGUUACAGCAUGUUACAAAACCCACGGACCCCACAAUUUUUUGCCCCUCUCCUAUUUCCACUUUGCUCCUUACUUACUAUCGAUUUUGGGCCUAAAAUCACUCCUUUGGUGAACAGCCUCAAUUCCCCUAUUCUCUUUCCCUGUUGGACUUCUGUGGCCAAACCCAAGGCUGGUCGAAAACCACCUACCCACUUAUUCUGAUCCUGGAAAUUCAGAUCUUAUUGAACCAACCAACCAAAAAACCAGUGUUAUUUGAUGUCUUUAAAUCUCAGUGGGGCUCUCCCGGUGUGGACUCUGCAGCGCUAACCCAGGCGCCAUGCCCUCUCUGUGCUACCCUCGCUGCCCCUUGGACUGGAAAGAGAGGGACCCCACAGUGGGAAUCACACCAGGAUAAUCACACCAGGUCCUGAUAAUAUUUAUGACCUUGAGGAGGUCAUUUGAUUUUUGCUUUACUUCAUCAACUUCCAGGCUUUUUCCCAAGAACACGGUUUUUACUUGCUGGACAGAUUGGGUUGUGAGGCGACUUGGCGACAAGGGAAAGGUAAUAAUAAACUACAUUUUCACUUGCAAAAACCUUACUUAAGCGACUUCAAUAAAACCCUGUAAACCACAUAAAUGCAUUCCUUGGCUUUCCCUUGGCCUCGUCAGAGAUUUAACCGAUUUCAGUUGUACUUUUUCAGUUGUGUCCUGCUGCUUAGAAUAAUGACUUAUUUUAGCAAAUGAUGUUAAACUCUCAUUUGAAGGAUGACUUUGGAGACUAUAUGUGCCUGAUACAUAGAUCAGCAUGAUCAUGGCUGCUCAUGGAUCUGCUAAUAGUUACUUUGGGGCAGCCCCUGAGUGUCUAGGUUUGUUUCCUUAAGGUCCCAAACCUCACUUCAUCCUUAUUUCAUUAACUCACUGUUGUUUACCCUAGCAAAACUGUGUGAAUUUGGCCAGAUCUGGUGAAAGGAUAAUAGAAAAUCAUAAUCUCAAAACUGAAUUCUUAAAGAUGGUCGGAAUCGUGACUCCAUGCUCUUGCUCUAAGAGCCUUGAUUCUGAGGAAUUGUGAAAGGGUUGGAUCAUUUUUCAAGGAAUACCAUUUGGGGCCAUUCUCUACCCCUGCAGAGCCCAUGGAAGUCUGUCUUUUAGGCCAUCACCUAAAGAUACAAGGCAUACAAGGGGGAGGGUGAGGGUGUGGGAGGGACUGGGAGUUUGGGGUUAGUGGAUGCAAACUAUUACAUUUAGAAAGGAUAAGCAGGGAGUUCCCAUCGUGGCGCAGUGGUUAACGAAUCCGACUAGGAACCAUGAUGUUGUGGGUUCGACCCUGGGCUUGCGCAGUGGGUUGACGAUCCGGCAUUGCCGUGAACUUUGGUGAAGGUCAUAGACGCGGCUCGGAUCUUGUGUUGCUAUGGCUCUGGCGUAGGCCGGUGGCUACAGCUCUGAUUCGACCCCUAGCCUGGGAACCUCCAUAUGCUGUGGGAGUGGCCCAAGAAAUGGCAAAAAGACCAAAAAAAAAAAGAGAAAGGAUAAGCAAUGAGUUUCUGCUGUACAACAUAGGGAAUGAUAUUCAAUCUCUUGGGAUAGACCAUGAUGGAAGAUACUUAAGAAGAGGAAUAUAUAUAUAUAUAUAUACACACAGAAAUGACUGGCUCACUUUGCUGUACAGCAAAAAUUGGCACAACAUUGUAGAUCAACUAAAAAAAAAAAAAGAAAAA